Molecule: ribosomal RNA, 465 nt
Filed under: Vreelandella stevensii
Lineage: Bacteria; Pseudomonadati; Pseudomonadota; Gammaproteobacteria; Oceanospirillales; Halomonadaceae
Description: partial 16S ribosomal RNA
Rfam family: Bacterial small subunit ribosomal RNA
Source: RNAcentral
CCUACGGGGGGCUGCAGUGGGGAAUAUUGGACAAUGGGGGGAACCCUGAUCCAGCCAUGCCGCGUGUGUGAAGAAGGCCCUCGGGUUGUAAAGCACUUUCAGUGAGGAAGAACGCCUGGUGGUUAAUACCCAUCAGGAAAGACAUCACUCACAGAAGAAGCACCGGCUAACUCCGUGCCAGCAGCCGCGGUAAUACGGAGGGUGCGAGCGUUAAUCGGAAUUACUGGGCGUAAAGCGCGCGUAGGUGGCUUGAUAAGCCGGUUGUGAAAGCCCCGGGCUCAACCUGGGAACGGCAUCCGGAACUGUCAAGCUAGAGUGCCGGAGAGGAAGGUAGAAUUCCCGGUGUAGCGGUGAAAUGCGUAGAGAUCGGGAGGAAUACCAGUGGCGAAGGCGGCCUUCUGGACUGACACUGACACUGAGGUGCGAAAGCGUGGGUAGCAAACAGGAGUAGAUACCCCUGUAGUC